CAGUCGCCGCGGUAAUACAGAGGGUGCAAGCGUUAAUCGGAUUUACUGGGCGUAAAGCGUGCGUAGGCGGCUUCUUAAGUCGGAUGUGAAAUCCCUGAGCUUAACUUAGGAAUUGCAUUCGAUACUGGGAAGCUAGAGUAUGGGAGAGGAUGGUAGAAUUCCAGGUGUAGCGGUGAAAUGCGUAGAGAUCUGGAGGAAUACCGAUGGCGAAGGCAGCCAUCUGGCCUAAUACUGACGCUGAGGUACGAAAGCAUGGGGAGCAAACAGGAUUAGAUACCCCGGUAGUCCCUGUCUCUUAUAC
Molecule: ribosomal RNA, 301 nt
Filed under: uncultured bacterium
Lineage: Bacteria
Description: partial 16S ribosomal RNA
Rfam family: Bacterial small subunit ribosomal RNA
Source: RNAcentral